GAUCAUGGCUACAGGAUGAACGCUAGCGGCAGGCUUAACACAUGCAAGUCGAGGGGCAGCAUGAUGUAGCAAUACAUUGAUGGCGACCGGCGCAAGGGUGCGUAACGCGUGAGCAACUUGCCCGUUUCUGGGGGAUAACCGGUGGAAACGCCGACUAAUACCCCAUAGUAUAACGAAGAGGCAUCUUUUUGUUAUUAAAGAAUUUCGGAAACGGAUAGGCUCGCGUGACAUUAGCUAGAUGGAGAGGUAACGGCUCACCUAGCCUACGAUGUCUAGGGGUUCUGAGAGGAAGGUCCCCCACACUGGAACUGAGACACGGUCCAGACUCCUACGGGAGGCAGCAGUGAGGAAUAUUGGUCAAUGGUCGAGAGACUGAACCAGCCAAGUAGCGUGCAGGAUGACGGCCCUCUGGGUUGUAAACUGCUUUUAGUUGGGAAUAAAAGGGAGUACGUGUACUCUGUAUUGUAUGUACCAUCAGAAAAAGGACCGGCUAAUUCCGUG
RNAcentral lists this ribosomal RNA (501 nucleotides) under uncultured bacterium. RNAcentral's name for it is "bacterial SSU rRNA". It matches the Rfam family "Bacterial small subunit ribosomal RNA", at positions 15 to 507 of the family's 1533-position model. The record is from RNAcentral.